Molecule: long non-coding RNA, 200 nt
Filed under: Elaeis guineensis (African oil palm)
Lineage: Eukaryota; Viridiplantae; Streptophyta; Magnoliopsida; Arecales; Arecaceae
Description: long non-coding RNA (EGUI_LNC001479)
Source: RNAcentral
CAUUUAUCCAAUCUAAACCAAUAGAAAGGAUGAAAAAUAUUUGUUCAUUAGCCAACAUAUAUAGUAGUGUAUAGAUGCUAUGCAAUGUCUAGUAGGAAUAAUGUGCAUGCAAGUAGAAUCUAUAUUUUUAUGGGUAAAUAUUUUCGGACAAUAUUUGGAUAGAAAAUUAAUUUAUCUAUAUUUCUUUUAUAUAUUGGAAG